AUUGAACGCUGGCGGCAUGCCUUACACAUGCAAGUCGAACGGUAACAGGUCUUCGGAUGCUGACGAGUGGCGAACGGGUGAGUAAUACAUCGGAACGUGCCUAGUAGUGGGGGAUAACUACUCGAAAGAGUGGCUAAUACCGCAUGAGAUCUACGGAUGAAAGCAGGGGAUCGCAAGACCUUGUGCUACUAGAGCGGCCGAUGGCAGAUUAGGUAGUUGGUGGGAUAAAAGCCUACCAAGCCGACGAUCUGUAGCUGGUCUGAGAGGACGAUCAGCCACACUGGGACUGAGACACGGCCCAGACUCCUACGGGAGGCAGCAGUGGGGAAUUUUGACAAUGGGCGCAAGCCUGAUCCAGCAAUGCCGCGUGCAGGAUGAAGGCCUUCGGGUUGUAAACUGCUUUUGUACGGAACGAAAAGCCCCGGGUUAAUACCCUGGGGUCAUGACGGUACCGUAAGAAUAAGCACCGGCUAACUACGUGCCAGCCGCCGCGGUAA
This 497-nucleotide ribosomal RNA is filed under the name uncultured bacterium. RNAcentral's name for it is "partial 16S ribosomal RNA". It matches the Rfam family "Bacterial small subunit ribosomal RNA", at positions 30 to 523 of the family's 1533-position model. The record is from RNAcentral.